Molecule: transfer RNA, 67 nt
Filed under: Marmota monax (woodchuck)
Lineage: Eukaryota; Metazoa; Chordata; Mammalia; Rodentia; Sciuridae
Description: tRNA.Ala
Source: RNAcentral
GGUUGUGGCUCAAUGGUAUAGCAUUCGCCUAGCAUGUGUGAGGCACUGGGUUUGAUCCUCAGAACCA